UACAGAGGGGCAAGCGUUGUUCGGAAUUACUGGGCGUAAAGGGCGCGUAGGCGGCCCGCUAAGUCGAACGUGAAAUCCCCGAGCUCAACUCGGGAACUGCGUCCGAUACUGGAGGGCUUGAGUGUGGGAGAGGGAUGCGGAAUUCCAGGUGUAGCGGUGAAAUGCGCAGAUAUCAGGAGGAACACCGGUGGCGAAGGCGGGUCUCUGGGCCGUAACUGACGCUGGAGGAGCGAAAGCGUGGGGAGCGAACAGG
This 253-nucleotide ribosomal RNA is filed under the name uncultured bacterium. RNAcentral describes it as "partial 16S ribosomal RNA". It matches the Rfam family "Bacterial small subunit ribosomal RNA", at positions 524 to 776 of the family's 1533-position model. The record is from RNAcentral.